UCUCCAUGACCCGCAUUCAUUUCUGUUCGCCGCCAUAUUGUUGAAUUAAGUCCUUCUGCUCUAUGCUUUUAAUUUUAAACAUUUGACACUAAUUUUCAUCCCAUUGGUGUUUCAAUUGGUAAGGAAUGGUUUGAAUAACAAUAAGUGAACUGUUGAGCUUACAUUUAUCCGCAUUAACAUUCAUUUAGCGGUACCGCUAAGUUUUAUUAUCGAAGCAGGCGGUUGGUGCGAUGCGUUCAGUGUCCUCGUCAUUAGCGGAAAUUACUCGUUACCGGAGAUUUUUGCGCUACAAAUAAGGAAAUAUACAUAGUCAAUAGACUGUUUGCGCCUCGAACUGGACCGUCCAAACGGAUCAACGGUUCCGAUUGCUGCUAUCAGUUUCGAGAAGGAGCACAACAACAAGGUGAGGGAUGUAGAGACCUGAUGGGAGAGUCACUGAACAACAACAAAAACUGAUUUCGUCACAUCUUUUGACUGAAACGAAGUGGACCUAAACUUACUCGGUGAAGCCGGCCGGUCAGGUGAAGACGGGCAGCGCUGGGUCUGAGGUGUGUUUCUGGAUCUCGGCGGGUUCUGAGGUCAGGUCCAGGUUCACCGGCAAAGACGGGAAGCGGACCGUCCCACACAGGCUCA
Poeciliopsis prolifica (blackstripe livebearer) is the source of this 633-nucleotide long non-coding RNA. RefSeq lists it as uncharacterized. The record is from RefSeq and is a predicted model, not a curated record. Lineage: Eukaryota; Metazoa; Chordata; Actinopteri; Cyprinodontiformes; Poeciliidae. The transcript is spliced from 3 exons.